Molecule: long non-coding RNA, 491 nt
Organism: Nothoprocta perdicaria
Lineage: Eukaryota; Metazoa; Chordata; Aves; Tinamiformes; Tinamidae
Exons: 3
Source: RefSeq, a predicted model, not a curated record
UGCUCUACGUCUCUCUUUUUUUUUUUUCCUCUACAGCUUAAACUGAGUCUGCUGGCUUGUUCCAACUGUAUGUAGGACAAGUACACCUUGUGCAAUGGAGCACUGAAAAAAAUGGGAUAAAUGGUGGCAAAAUGUUAUUUGUCCUGAAAGUUUCAUAUGAAAUGGAUCUUCUGAAAACCACUUUGCUCUGAAAUACCCAGAACCCACCUGGUUUUAGAUGUCCAUUUGCUGACCUGCGGAAAUUUUCUUGCUGGUUAUACAUGCUUCAUUCCUGUGUCCAGGAGUCCCACUGCUGGCAAAUUCUGAUACUUUCCAUAUGCAAGCGUAGUCUGUGAGAAUUUUUCUGUACCCUGUCAUAUAUGUAAAUGGAUGAAUUUGUUAUUUAUAAUGCAAUGGAACCAAAAUGAGUGCAAUGGAAUUGUGACACAACAAAAAAGGUUCUGGCACUUAGCGUAGAAAUUUCCAAAUUUUCUGUGGUAGUAGCCUUUACU